This 496-nucleotide ribosomal RNA is filed under the name uncultured bacterium. RNAcentral describes it as "partial 16S ribosomal RNA". It matches the Rfam family "Bacterial small subunit ribosomal RNA", at positions 28 to 506 of the family's 1533-position model. The record is from RNAcentral.
GAUGAACGCUGGCGGCGUGCCUAAUACAUGCAAGUCGAGCGAACAGACGAGGAGCUUGCUCCUCUGACGUUAGCGGCGGACGGGUGAGUAACACGUGGAUAACCUACCUAUAAGACUGGGAUAACUUCGGGAAACCGGAGCUAAUACCGGAUAACAUGUUGAACCGCAUGGUUCAACAGUGAAAGACGGUCUUGCUGUCACUUAUAGAUGGAUCCGCGCCGCAUUAGCUAGUUGGUAAGGUAACGGCUUACCAAGGCAACGAUGCGUAGCCGACCUGAGAGGGUGAUCGGCCACACUGGAACUGAGACACGGUCCAGACUCCUACGGGAGGCAGCAGUAGGGAAUCUUCCGCAAUGGGCGAAAGCCUGACGGAGCUACGCCGCGUGAGUGAAGAAGGUCUUCGGAUCGUAAAACUCUGUUAUUAGGGAAGAACAAAUGUGUAAGUAACUAUGCACGUCUUGACGGUACCUAAUCAGAAAGCCACGGCUAACUACGU